GCGCCCGUAGCUCAGCUGGAUAGAGCGUCAGACUCCGACUCUGAAGGCCAUGCGUUCGAACCGCACCGGGCGUACCA
RNAcentral lists this transfer RNA (77 nucleotides) under Clostridiales bacterium. RNAcentral's name for it is "tRNA-Arg". It matches the Rfam family "tRNA". From Rfam's summary of the family: Transfer RNA (tRNA) molecules are approximately 80 nucleotides in length. Their secondary structure includes four short double-helical elements and three loops (D, anti-codon, and T loops). Lineage: Bacteria; Bacillati; Bacillota; Clostridia; Eubacteriales. The record is from RNAcentral. RNAcentral also lists the same sequence under 7 other names.